CUAGGUCACAGUAUCUUAUUAAUGCAUGCACGAGUCAUACUUCUCCCCCUCCCCGUUCAACUUCUCUUUACUUUGGGGUAGUUUUAGUAGGCUAUUGCCUGCGUGGCAUUCCACGCGGUUUUGGCCAAACAACGGUUUGUUGAACUAUUGUGAAUUUUGUAGCGAAACGCAACAAUGUAUCAAUAAAACUUACCUCCGCGUUGCCCACUAUUAUGGAAGUACACAGGCAAUUAUCUUGCAAUUUGUUGUUCACUUACUUGCCCUCACCUAAUGUCUUUGAAUGAGAAAGGAAAAUAUCAUAUUCCCUUGAGGAGAAUGCAAAACCACAACAUCCAUUUGAGUUCUUUGACACAUUUGCGCCUUGUUCUGUCGUGGAGGUAGCGCCCAUCAACGACAUAUUUCAACGUUGAGAGCACACACAGUGACUGGAUAGACAGCUUCAUUUUAUGCAAACCGUUUUAGGGUACGUCGAAGGUGGCGUGAAAGUGGAUGUGGCCUGUCUAAUGUAAACAAAAUAAGGCAUGAUGCGUCGCACAGUGAGUGUAGGCCUGAACAAAAACAGAUUUUUUUUUCUUUUUUUCUUUCCCCCGACAGUUUUUUGGGGUCAGUAAUGGACCUUUGCACAUCCGUUUUUUUAACUUUGAAAUUAUAGCAAAGUGUGACGUGUCAAUAUGGUGAUAAUAGGGUAAAUCAAGCAUAACCGGUGUAACCAGUACAGGUGUGUCGCUUACUUUGGUGUCUGCAAUGCGUACAUUCACAAUUUAAGUAACUCAGUGACUCACUCACUCACCCACUCACUCACACACACACACACACACACACACACACACACACACACACACACACAUACACACAUAAACACACACACGAGCGUCAUAAAAGCUGUGUUGCAAUAGCCAUUAGCCAGUGAUUAAGAGAGGACACAACAGGUUUUCACUUCAUCAGCAGUCAUCUCUUGGGAGCCCUGUUGGCUCCAUCCAGACCAUUAAGUGCCCCCCAACACUUAGAGAGAGCGAGAGCGGGAGGCAGGCAGGCGGGGUGGAUGUUGUGUUGUCUCUCCUGGUGGCUGCCCUUAGCCACAGUACAUGGGCUUUCAUUAGUGGCUUGGCUAAAUGAUUGGCCUCAGGAAAGCCCUGAAGCCUCACAAUGCAUGUGUCAGUUUAUAUAUCCUAUUCAUUGGACAAGUUAUUCAUGUAUUCAUUAUCAUUUAUCUAUUGUGGCACCCACAAACAUGCAGCGCUUAUUGAAUGGAUAGAUCAGCUUUUUGGUUUAAGGUGAAUAAAUCUACAUCAUAUGUUGUGUUUUAGGGAUAGGUACUGAAUUCUCAAUAUGCUGUAUAUUGUCCUUGUUUACCGGUAGCCAUUUUCUUUUGAAAUUGAGAGGGAUUAUGAAAAAAACAUGACUGACAAUUGAAGCUCUUAAUUUGACACGGGCAUGUGUAAAAUGGACAACAUGUAGUUGUAGGAUAUCUUUAGGACAUGCUAAUCAGACCUUGGAAUUAAAAUGACAACAUUCGGUCUCUGUCAUUUACAUAAGAGGUCAUGUUUUGCUAAUAUGUCUCUCGUUGGAACCGACAGCCAGCAAGAAUGGUGGUUAAGUCUGACCCACUGACAUUUUCAGCUCCAAAUUAUGCACAAUGUGUGAAUUAAAUUAAUUACGGAAUUCAUUAAGAAAUAUGGCUGGCGGAAAUGAGUGUAAUAU
This 1701-nucleotide long non-coding RNA is filed under the name Oncorhynchus mykiss (rainbow trout). RNAcentral describes it as "lncRNA (ENSOMYG00000075127.1)". Lineage: Eukaryota; Metazoa; Chordata; Actinopteri; Salmoniformes; Salmonidae. The record is from RNAcentral.